Molecule: long non-coding RNA, 93 nt
Organism: Perognathus longimembris pacificus (Pacific pocket mouse)
Lineage: Eukaryota; Metazoa; Chordata; Mammalia; Rodentia; Heteromyidae
Exons: 3
Source: RefSeq, a predicted model, not a curated record
GUGUGUGUGUGUGUGUGUGUGUGCACGCCAAUACUAGGCCUUGAACUCAGGAGUCUCACGCUCUCACUUGGCUCUUUAUUUUCCACUCAAAGC